This 253-nucleotide ribosomal RNA is filed under the name uncultured bacterium. RNAcentral describes it as "partial 16S ribosomal RNA". It matches the Rfam family "Bacterial small subunit ribosomal RNA", at positions 524 to 776 of the family's 1533-position model. The record is from RNAcentral.
GACAGAGGGUGCGAACGUUGUUCGGAAUUACUGGGCGUAAAGCGCGUGUAGGCGGCAAUGCAAGUCGGGCGUGAAAUCCCACGGCUCAACCGUGGAAGUGCACUCGAAACUGCAUAGCUAGAGUCCUGGAGAGGAAGGUGGAAUGCUUGGUGUAGAGGUGAAAUUCGUAGAUAUCAAGCGGAACACCGGUGGCGAAGGCGGCCUUCUGGACAGUGACUGACGCUGAGACGCGAAGGCGUGGGGAGCAAACAGG